This is a non-coding RNA of Cyanistes caeruleus (blue tit), 553 nucleotides long. Lineage: Eukaryota; Metazoa; Chordata; Aves; Passeriformes; Paridae. The record is from RefSeq and is a predicted model, not a curated record.
GUCAGGGUUCUAGGUCAUGGUUCUAGGUCAGGGUUCUAGGUUAGGGUUCUCUGAAUACCCCAGAGAAAGGCCUGGAAUGUGGUACAGCAGUCUGUGUCCAGGCAUUUACUGCAAACUUUUAAAAUUAACUCUCCCCACAGGAAUUUCAUUAGGUUAGAAAUAAUUAUUGACAAAAAAAGCACCCUCAAGAUCAAGAUCCAGGAUGAUGGAGCUGAUUUCAGUGCCCAGGAGAGUGUGCAGGAUUUCCAAGAGAUGCUCACAUCCUUUCACUGACCCAGCAAAGCACCCAUGGAAAAGGUCCAGGGCUGCUUUCAGCUCAAAGUGCAUGAAGGGGGAGAGAGCAGGAAUUGAUUUAAACAGAAUAGAAGGGAAAUAAACAACCAAGGAGGAGCUAUCGGUGCUGAGAUGAGGAAAAGGCACUUGAACUGUGUGGGGAGGGAGGAGAUUUGGCACAGACACAAAAUUUGGGCUCCACCACUGCCAGGCCAGAAUCCAACCUCUUUUAUCUGCACUGCAAGAAUAAACAUCUGGAUUUUCCCUGCCUUACUCCAAA